AAGAAAUUUAAUAAUUUUGAAAAUGGAUUUUUUUGUUUUGGCAAGAGCAUGAGAGCUUUUACUGGGCAAGAAGACAAGAGAUGGAGAGUCCAGCCGGGCCUGCGCUUAAGUGCGCGGUCUUGCUAGGCUUGUAAGUUUCUUUCUUGCUAUUCCAAACGGUGAGAGAUUUCUGUGCUUUUGUUAUAGGACAAUUAAAACCGUUUCAAUACAACACACUGUGGAGUUUUCAUAUCUUUGCAACUUUUUCUUUGGGCAUUCGAGCAAUCGGGGGGCCCAGAGGUAACAAACACAAACAAUUUUAUCUAUUCAUUAAAUUUUUGUCAAAAACAAGAAUUUUCGUAACUGGAAAUUUUAAAAUAUUAA
This 363-nucleotide ribosomal RNA is filed under the name Saccharomyces cerevisiae YJM693. Its description in RNAcentral is "ITS1-102". Lineage: Eukaryota; Fungi; Ascomycota; Saccharomycetes; Saccharomycetales; Saccharomycetaceae. RNAcentral also lists the same sequence under 1 other name. The record is from RNAcentral.